GCUCUCCCUCCAUGCUUUCCCCCCUUGCUGAACCCUUCUUUCCCUCCCUCUCCUCCUCCUUCUCCUCCUCUUCCUCCUCUCCUCCUCCUAUUUCUCCUCUUCCUCCAUUCUCUCCUAUCUCCUUACACUCCUACUCCCCCUCUCACUCUCCUUUAUCUCCCAUUCCUCCCUCGCUCUUUCCUCUCUUUCCCCCUCCUCUUCGCCCUCUCGCUCAUCUUUUUCUCCCCUCCCUCCCCCUGUAUCUCCUCUUCCUGUUUCUCCUCUUCCUCCAUUCUCUCCUAUCUCCUUACACUCCUACUCCCCCUCUCACUCUCCUUUAUCUCCCAUUCCUCCCUCGCUCUUUCCUCUCUUCUCCCCCUCCUCUUCGCCCUCUCGCUCAUCUUUUUCUUCCCUCCCUCCCCCUGUCUCUCCUCUUCCUCCCUCUCCUCCUCCUCCACUGACCGGCCGCUGGAGUCUCCGGAUUUCGGAGGAUGAGGACAAACUCUUCGUCCUACGGAAGCUCCCUCCACUCUCUCCCUCCAACACUUUUUCUGUGGAGUGGGCUCCUGUCUCUCCUCCUCCUCCUCCCCCUGUCUCUCCUCCUCCUCCUUCUCCUCCCCCCCACUGACAGGCCGCUGGAGUCUCCAGAAUUCGGAGGACAAAAACAAACUCGUCUUCAUCCUUCGGAGGCUCCCUCCACUCUCUCCCUCCAACACUUUUUCUGUGGAGUGGGCUCCUGACCAACCGGCAGGAGCCGCUCCAGUGAAUGUUAAUAACCCCUCUGCCUUACCUCCACAGGCCCAGCAGCCGGCUGCCAAGCCUCGUGCAAAGGCAGUGGGUCCGGUUCCAAAGUGGGUCAGGAACCUUCGGGCCCUCAUAAAGUUGAGGAACGGGCAACGCCGCCCCCCAAGGUGGACGACCCCGGGACCCAAGACAGAGACGAGGACGACCCCAAGAGACGACAAAAGACGAGACAGCGAAGACCAGUGAAGACGAGCGACCGAACCCCGACAGAGAAGAAGCCAGAGACGACGACCGGCCAGUGAGGAGAAGGAACAACUACUUUACUGAGACUUUACUGGAUGCACUGGUGCUUCAGAGAUGAUGGGAGGCAGAUCCAGGACCAGUGCAUGGCUCAUGAGACCAUUCAAUUAACACAAGAGCUCUCUCUCCAAGACCACUAAUAAAGAUCAAAUCAAGAAACAAGACCAGGACCAGCCCAUAAUGUGGAAGAGGGGAUGAUUAUUAUAGUGACACAGAAGGAGGAAGUCAGAACACCCAGAGAAAAACCAUGCAGUCCCAGAGAGAUCAUGAACAGAAAGAAUGAACUGAGCAGCAGAAGACAAAGAAACAGCUGGAGGAGCCCCAAGAUGACGGAUCAGCGACAGAAGAACUAGGACGGGAAGAUGAAGAAGAUAAAGACCAGUCCAAACAAAGAAGAAGAUGAACUCCUCCAGAUAUCAUCAAAGGUUUCUCUGAAUCUUGGAGUUCCAUGUGUCUGAUCCGGUGUUUUUGGCCUCAGCGACCUCCAAAGCCUUCAACUUCUCUCCCUCCUCUUUACCCUCAAACCAACCAGAGUUUUGCUUUUAUUUUUCUUCCCAGAGGGAUGUUUUUUUUUCCCUUACCCCAUCUGGAGGUUUUUUUCAACUUCCUGGCAACAGGAAGUUUUUUUCCUCCAGAUGGGCUUGAUUUGAUCACACUACAAAAAGAGAGAGCCUCAAAUAAAAAACAAAA
Long non-coding RNA from Acanthochromis polyacanthus (spiny chromis), 1713 nucleotides. RefSeq lists it as uncharacterized. The record is from RefSeq and is a predicted model, not a curated record. The transcript is spliced from 7 exons. NCBI's taxonomy places the organism in Eukaryota, Metazoa, Chordata, Actinopteri, Pomacentridae.